UCCAACUGAUGAGAGGGGAAUAAUAAUGCAUUCAUAUAAAAUAAACAAUCCAAUUUGUUGCUGGCAGGAUAAAAUCGAAGCAACAAGGUCUUCUCCAACUCAGUAAAAACCAUUUGAUAAGUAAUUUAGAUGCCAAGAAAUUUUAAUAACUGAACUGAAUCCCUUUGACUGCAGUACAUACUCGAUAUGGGCCUUUGCAUCUUGUCAGAUUUUGGCUGCUACUUCCAUUUUCUUCCUGGCACUUUUCUCUCCGACCUGUACUUUGACAAAAUCUGACUUCUUCGUGUUGUAUUCUAAUAACAUUGGGAGAUACAUUAAUCAAAUUAAUGUCCACUAUAUUUAUUUUCUUGGCAAAUUAAACUAACCUUCCUCAUUUGGAAACCGCUUCUUCCCCUGGGAAUCAUAAGUGUCAUUCUGAAUUUAAAAUGCAAAAACAGAGAAACUUAAAAUGUGAACUUAAAACACUGCAUUAACUAUCUAAGCAUUUGGGAACUUAAAAUGCAAAAACAGAGAAACAACAAGAUAGUAGAAAAACAGUGCAAGAGUAAUCUCCACAUAGCAUCAAUGCAUUUUUACGAAACACAAAUGCAUCUGGUGAAGACUGUAAUAUGCUCACCAGACCGACAUAUGUAUCUGAAUAUGCUCACAAUUUAAUCUGUAAGAGAAUCGACAUAUGACAUGCGACUUGAUCUUAUUGUUACAAAUUAGUAAGCAUCUGCCAGUGUAGAGUAGCCAUCUACUUGCAAUUUCCAAGACAUUUCUCUACAAAUAUUCAUCUGUCAGUGUAGCUGCAUCACCCCCAAAACAUUCAGGUCUAGGCAUAACCAAAAAAAAUCUUCUGUGCCGUGCAGUUUAAUAAUACUAAAAGCAAACCAGUAAGAGGAGGGAAGGAAGGUCGCAACCUGCACAGAGCAUGUCCUUGAGGCCAAAUUACGAAUGGUCCUCCUUCCCCAGCAAUCAUUUUCAGAACCAUAAACAACAGUCAAAAUCGGUUCACCAUCAGGAAUAAAGAUGAGUCGUUGUCGUGAUCGCCUUGAUGGCAAUUGAAAUAAGACUGCUCCCUUAAAGCCGAUACAGAUGGAUUGGCUCACUCAUUUCACCUGAAUAACAAACACCACAUAUUUAGAUGCAAAAAAAAAAGAUAUAAAACUCGGGUUCAUAGUUCUUCUGCUAGAAGUAAAAGUCAGUUCACCAUUAGGAUUAGACAUGAGUGGACGUUAUGAUGGCCUUGAUGGCAAAUGAAACAUACACAGCAAAUCAUCCUCCAUUGAAGCCAAUACAAAAACGACAGUCUCACGCAUUUUACCUGAACAAUGAACACAACAAAUUUAUGCACGAAGAAAUAGUUUUUUGCUACAAAUAGAUGAAUCAAAGUAAAUAAGAAUAUUUUGUCCUGUAAGGAAAAAAAACUCUAGACAAACACAACCGAAAUGUACGCACGGAAGCAUAAGAUUUCCUCGGCACAACGCACCCAAAAAAAGUUGGUGGAUGAGAAGCUACUUCCUAUAUGAACACAAAAGAAACCAAUCAUCAUGCAUUCUGAAUCUAAUUCCAAUGCAUACAAAAUGCACACUUGAUCAUUAAUCAAGUUCUUUAGGUAAAUCAGUUACUUUGAAUGAGCGUACACAUUUGAGUUAGCUUAGCUGCUCAAGGCCUGAACCAAACAGUGAUUACCACUAUUAAUCCAUACAUACUCCCUCCGUAAACUAAUAUAAGAGCGUUUAGAAUACUAAAAUAGUGAUCUAAACGCUCUUAUAUUAGUUUACAGAGGGAGUACAACAAUAAGCAUAGCUCGAGUGCUUAGCUGCGUACCACCCAUGUACAUGGUUAGAAAACUGCAAUGCUUACAAUUUUAAGGACUCCUCACCCAUAUAUAAGGAAAUGAACCUUCAGAAUGCGAUAUUACUUGUUUCUUUUCUCAGCAAAACAACUCAUGGCUUUUCUCUUGUCCUUAAAAAAUUCCCUUCCCCAGCUUCUUUUGCUGGCUUUAUAAUAGAAUAAACCACCAGAGAAUCUUAGGGAACUGUGUGUACAAUAUAACAAAUUAUAACAAAGACGGCAUUGCCUAGCAUGAUUCAGAAUCCAAACAAAAUAAUUUUGAAAUUCACCAUCCAAUGUAAAAUUUCUUAUGGUUACCACAAUGAAAACGUGUGCUUGGAGCUUGAAUUGUAUGUAUGUUGGUAUGGUACAUAACAAAUUGGUAUGGUAUGUUCAUAACAUAACACAAGAACUUGAAUUCUUAUCAAUACUGGAACGCAGCCAUGUUUACAAAUGUCGAAAUCUGAUAGGAGUAACAGGAGUACAAUAAAUGAGCGAGGAGCACACUUCUAUUAAUGUCCCAAAAAAGUGUAUAUUCUCCACAAAGCUGUGAUUUAAAAAUCUACAGCGACUGGUCCAAUUUUUUGGGUUCAAAAGUAUCAAAGAAAACAGAAGAGCGUAAGCUCUGCUACUAAGAAAGAAGUCAUGAUAUCUUCUAGCCUCUUGGGACAGUUACAGUCAUCGACUUGUAGCUUGGAAAGUUGGAACCUACAUGUUAGUCGAACCUAGAUCAAUGCAAACUCAUCAAGCACAGACCUUAUAUUCUAGUACCAGAACUGUAGAGUCUGUUAUCAACAUGUUAAACACAAGUCGCAUAUUCGGUUAAUGUUGAUAGCUAACAGAGAGGCGGCAACAGGCACAUUUAGAUACUAUGCAAAAAAAAAAAAAACAGAGCAAUCAAAGAUAGAAAAAGAAGACCUGUUUAAAAUUGCAUACAGAGCUGAAAAAAACCAAGUGAAUGGGGAUUGCAGCAAAGACCAAACUACAAAGGUUAUGGCCAAAGGAGGACACUUGCAGUGGAGAAGCAGCAGCUAUUGUUGACAGUGUCAUACAACACUUCCUAUGGUCUGAGAAUCUUCACCCGGCUUAAGAAAGCUUAACAAUAUUAAAAAGUAGAAGAGCUAAGCUGUUUUAAGCCUCAGAAAGCCGCAAAAAUAUCGUCAUUUGAAAUCUGAUGGUAAUUCCAACAUAAAGCUAAUCAUCAUAGGGUCCUAUAGUGUUCUAGAGAGAAAAAAGGGCCCUAAACAUCAUACCUUUGGGCCAAAAAAAUCAAAGAAACAGGGUGUAUCAGAGUAUAAAUGCCUUCUCAUUCACAGGAAAAUAAGCACUGUGUCAGAAGGUGUCCUAAGAUUGUUUCAAGGUUUCAUCCUCUGAUACUGACCAGAUCAACAAAAAACUGGACCAAAUGAAGAAACAUUAACUGAUUAAAAUCCUAUUCCAAAAAUUCCUAGCUAAUUAUCAGAUCAUGAAACAGAUUGUAACAUCCUGGGUGCCAACAAUCACCGAGGAAAAAAUACCUGAACUGACCAUACAUAGUCUGUGAAGCAAGAGUGAGCACGUGAUUGAUGGAGCUCCUUGGCAGCGGUGGUGGCUGCUGCUCCUGUACACACUGACAGCUCGAACACCCAGGCGUAGCCGAGAGAGCGCCGAUGCUCUAGCACAAGCACACGUUAAAAGGAUAAACUCAAAUCCCUAAUAAGAACUUUCUUUUAGCACAAACUGAGAGGGGACUGAAUUGGAACAAUCUGAAAGAGGCUUCAAGAGGUAAAUCACCCUGGACCGGUGCCUAGAUCGCCGCUGCCGAGGACAAGCGCAGUUGCCUUUCACAGGGAGGAGGCCCUAGCCUCUCACGACGCCGCCGCCAACUCCCCUGGGGGCCGGGGCCGAACCUGGGCGUCGGCCCGGCUCGGCCCGGCUAUUCGCUCCGCCCCUGCCGCUGAACUCCGGUGCGGGGCUGGGGGCUCUACAGGCCCUAGCCUCUCACGACGCCAUCACCAACUCCCCUUGGGGCCGGGGCCGAACCCUGGCGUCGGCCCGGCUAUUUGCUCCGCCCUGCCCCUGAACUCCGGCGCGGGGCUGGGGGCUCUGCCGCUGAACUCCGGUCACAUGGUCUGGAUCCGGAGGCAGGGAAGGAGGAGAGGAAGGGGAGGAGGAGGUGCUGGGCAGAGGAGAGGGGUGGCGGCGGUGGCAGGGAGGGCUCGGAAAGACGCGGGUUAGGUCUGCUUUUGUGUCGCUGCUAGCUCGGUCCACUUCGUUUUUUCUCUCUCGCUAUUCGCGCUGGCUCACUGCUUUUAGCUCUGCACUAUUGAUAGCCGAUGUGGAGCCAUCCGUUGCGCCUAGCACCCCUUUCAUCCUUUAUAAGUUCAAGCUCCGCCCUGCCCGCUGAACUCCGGCGCGG
This 4216-nucleotide long non-coding RNA is filed under the name Triticum aestivum (bread wheat). Its description in RNAcentral is "long non-coding RNA (TAES_LNC016136)". The stretch from base 1691 to 1777 matches the Rfam family "MIR1120/MIR1122 microRNA precursor family". Lineage: Eukaryota; Viridiplantae; Streptophyta; Magnoliopsida; Poales; Poaceae. The record is from RNAcentral.